AGCUUUGAAAAAAAACCAAAAGAUUAGUUUUCCUUUUUGUAUUACGGUUUUUAGGAAAAUAAGAAAAAUUUCUUAACUCGAAAAAAUAAGAUCUAAAUUAGAUUAGAAUUUAAGGUUCAAUUUUACAUAAUUAAUAUGUGUAUUGAUUAAAGAUGAUAAAGAAUUUAGUUUAGAGGAGAAAAUUUUUCGAUUAUUUUUAUUUAGUUUAAAAUUGUAAAAAAGUAAAAGCUUUUUUUUUGAAUUGUGAUAAAUUUUUUUACUUUAAAAAAAAAUAAUAAAGUUUCAGAUUGAUUUAUUUUUUUUAAUAAAAUAUUAUUAAUACAGGUUUAAAUAAAAUAAAGUUUCAAUCAUUUUAAAAAAAAUAUAAAAAAUGAUUUUCUUUUUUAGUAAUUAAAAAAUUAGUAUAAAAAAAUGUAAUAAAGAAUUCAAUUGGCUUUCCAACUGUUUAUUAAAAACAUUUCUUUUUUUUUAAAAAGUAAACUCUGCUCAAUGAAAUUUGUUUAAAUUGCUGCAGUAUUUUGACUGUGCAAAGGUAGCAUAAUUAUUUGUCCAUUAAAUAUGGAAUUGUUUGAAUGAGGAAUCUUGAGAAAGUAUUUGUUUUAUUAAUUUUAUUUUUAAAUUUCAUUAAUAGUAAAGAUGCUAUUAGAAAUAAAAAAUUUUAAUUAAGACGAAAAGACCCUAUAGAGUUUAAAAUUUUUUUUAAAAAAUAAAUUUAAAAUUUUUAAUGGGGAAUUAGAGAAUAAUAUGUUUUUUUUCUUAAAAAAAAAAAACUUCCUUAGGGAUAACAGGGUAAUUAGACUUUAGAGUUCUUAUCAAAAGUUUUGUUUACUACCUCGAUGUUGAAUCAUAAUUAAAUUUAGGUGUAGGUAUUUUAGAUUUUAGUCUGUUCGACUAUUAAAAUUAUUCGUGAUUUGAGUUUAGACCGAUGUAAAUCAGGUUGGUUUUUAUCUAAUAAUUUUAAGUGUUGUACGAAAGGACUCAUCUUAUUUUAAUU
RNAcentral lists this ribosomal RNA (994 nucleotides) under Bipalium kewense. Its description in RNAcentral is "16S ribosomal RNA". The stretch from base 662 to 953 matches the Rfam family "Archaeal large subunit ribosomal RNA", at positions 2151 to 2715 of the family's 2987-position model. Lineage: Eukaryota; Metazoa; Platyhelminthes; Tricladida; Geoplanidae. The record is from RNAcentral.